UGUGUAGGUGGACGUGUAAGAUAGCGGUGAAAUGCCGGAGCUCAACUUCGGAAUUGCCAUUAUAACUAUGCGUCUAGAAUUAUAGGGAGGAUAGCGGAAUACCCAGUGUAGAGGUGAAAUUCGUAGAUAUUGGGUAGAACACCAGUGGCGAAGGCGGCUAUCUGGCUAUAUAUUGACACUGAGGCACGAAAGCAUGGGGAUCAAACA
This 207-nucleotide ribosomal RNA is filed under the name uncultured bacterium. RNAcentral's name for it is "partial 16S ribosomal RNA". It matches the Rfam family "Bacterial small subunit ribosomal RNA", at positions 568 to 774 of the family's 1533-position model. The record is from RNAcentral.